Molecule: non-coding RNA, 98 nt
Organism: Cucumis melo (muskmelon)
Lineage: Eukaryota; Viridiplantae; Streptophyta; Magnoliopsida; Cucurbitales; Cucurbitaceae
Source: Rfam
GCAUCUCCUAGAGUUCCCUUCCAAGCACUUCAGCUGAAAAUGUCAAGAAAUUAUUGAUGUUUCUUUACUGAAGUGUUUGGGGGAACUCUCGGCGUAAC